CAGUCGCCGCGGUAAUACAGAGGGUGCAAGCGUUAAUCGGAAUUACUGGGCGUAAAGCGCGUGUAGGUGGUUUGUUAAGUUGGAUGUGAAAUCCCCGGGCUCAACCUGGGAACUGCAUCCAAAACUGGCAGGCUAGAGUAGGGCAGAGGGUGGUGGAAUUUCCUGUGUAGCGGUGAAAUGCGUAGAUAUAGGAAGGAACACCAGUGGCGAAGGCGACCACCUGGGCUCAUACUGACACUGAGGUGCGAAAGUGUGGGGAGCAAACAGGAUUAGAUACCCCGGUAGUCCCUGUCUCUUAUAC
RNAcentral lists this ribosomal RNA (301 nucleotides) under uncultured bacterium. Its description in RNAcentral is "partial 16S ribosomal RNA". It matches the Rfam family "Bacterial small subunit ribosomal RNA", at positions 509 to 807 of the family's 1533-position model. The record is from RNAcentral.